UUUGUUUAUAGAAUAUAUGAUACGUAAAUGUCAAUUGGGAUUGCAUACUUGUUCUUUGCAGCCUAAAGGAAUUAAAUUAAAGGGGCUUUAACCUUUUUCCUUUAGGAUGUGUUGGGGCUUUGGAGGUGGCUUUUUUUUUCCCUUUUUGGCUCUAUUGGCAUAUGGUAGUUUAUAGAAGAGUAUGACUAGAAUUUUUCUUUUUAUUCUUUAAUUCUUUAUCUUUGAUAUAUGUUCAAGGAAAGUUGAAUUUUCAUUUUCAUUUUCAUUUUGUACAGUGCAGCAAUCGUGAUUGGAGAAACAGUAUGACUACAUCAGCUACAAAACUGCCAAUUGAAGCGAUUGAAUUGU
Molecule: unclassified non-coding RNA, 348 nt
Filed under: Hevea brasiliensis (rubber tree)
Lineage: Eukaryota; Viridiplantae; Streptophyta; Magnoliopsida; Malpighiales; Euphorbiaceae
Source: RNAcentral